CGUGGGUAACCUGCCCAAGAGAUCGGGAUAACACCUGGAAACAGAUGCUAAUACCGGAUAACAACANAUGAUGCCUAUCAACUGUUUAAAAGAUGGUUCUGCUAUCACUCUUGGAUGGACCUGCGGUGCAUUAGCUAGUUGGUAGGGUAACGGCCUACCAAGGCGAUGAUGCAUAGCCGAGUUGAGAGACUGAUCGGCCACAUUGGGACUGAGACACGGCCCAAACUCCUACGGGAGGCAGCAGCC
RNAcentral lists this ribosomal RNA (246 nucleotides) under uncultured Lactobacillus sp. RNAcentral's name for it is "partial 16S ribosomal RNA". It matches the Rfam family "Bacterial small subunit ribosomal RNA", at positions 116 to 355 of the family's 1533-position model. Lineage: Bacteria; Bacillati; Bacillota; Bacilli; Lactobacillales; Lactobacillaceae. The record is from RNAcentral.